UUAUUUCUUGAUAAAACCCUCGCAGAAUUUUCGAUAUUCGAAGGAAAUUCUCCCUAUUUACAAAUCAGGAAACACCGUAGGGGAAAAAGGGGAAUAGAUUAGAAGAGCUUUCUGUUUGAGAUUCUGAGCAAGUAUUCCAACAAAGAUCUUUCUCUUUUUAUAAAGGGAACAUCUGAUCGAGACAUACAAGUGUAGAGUCGGAGAGCGCAAAGAAGCCGGAGGGUGAUCCGAGCACCGGACGACGGCGGAGGAUAGUGAUCGACAACAACAAUCUCUUGGAAAAACACGGAGGAGCAUCAACGAUAUUCAAGAGCCGGUGCAUAAAACGCACUUGUUAACUUGGAUCUUGCGCAUUUUGAUCCCGUGAUUGAAAGGACUUUCUGAAGACGCCAACGAGAGAGCGCGCAUAACCAAACAAUAGCCAUGGCAGAGAUCGAGUUGAAUGAGCAGAAUGGCCCGGAAGAACGGGCUGAGCAAUCCAGACCCAUGAGUUACUAUUUCGUUCCACGCAUUGAGGCCGGUCGAUCGAGUAUUCAAGCGCCGGUAAUCGAGGCGGAUAACUUUGAGAUCGACCGAUGUCUUAUUGAGAUCAUCCAGAAAUCCAUUGUGUUCAGUGGUUUACUGAACGAUGAUCCCAUUAUACACCUGCAUAAGUUCGUGGAAAUAUGCGAUACGGUUAGGUAGGACGGCGUAUCCUCAGAUGCGGUCUGGCUGAGGCUUUUUACAUUCUCCCCGAAGGAUAGGGCCAAAGCUUGGCUUUAUUCCAUGCCGGCUGGGUCAAUUACCAUAUGUACUCAAUUCGAAAAAAAGUUUAUGGCCAAGUACUUCCCACCACCAUUGGCAAUAAAGAUGAGGAAAGACAUCAUAAACUUCACACCACACUAGUUCGAGUCAUUGGCAGAAGCAUGGGAGAGGUUCAAACAAUUGCAGAGAAGACGUGCUAGGACGGUCUUCCCCGGUGGAUGAAGUUGCAUUCAUUCUAUUACGGCCUAAUAGAGCACAGUCGUAUCACUCCUGAUGCAGCGACAGGAGGCGAUUUGAUGAGUAAGACAGUCAAUGAAGCAUAUGAGCUCUUGGAGCAGAUGACUCAGGACAACUAUCAAUGCCCGUCUGAGACAAUGAACCUGACAAGUGAAGCUACUGUACGCGAGCUUGAUGUGAUGGCAUCACUUCAUGCAUAAUUAGCAGUAUUGAACAAGAAAUGCGAUGCUUUGAACAUUAAAGCCAUCCAAGUUAUACCUUUGAUCGAGAACAGUGGAGAGGAGUAUCUGACCGAGCAAUGUACGAUGAACAUGGAAGCAGCAAAUUAUCAUAUUGGCAAUCAAAGGAAUAACCAGUUUGCCCACAUCUAUAAUUCCCAGUUGGAAGGAUCACCCGAACUUCUCAUGGAGCAACAAGCAAAGCAGGACUCUCAGGAGCAGGAGCGAGUCAAGUACCCGAAUUUGCAACACAACCUUGAGUUUCGGCUCCUGAUAAGAAGCCUGACUUUGACGAGGUCAUGAUGCAGUAUGCUGCAAAAAUUGAUGCACUCAUUAGAACUCAGAACAGUUGCAUUCAGAGUCAAGCAGCAUCACUCAAGGCGUUGGAACUUAGAGUGGGUCAAAUUGAAGGAGCGACGAAUGACAGACCGCAAUGGAUGUCACCGAUGGAUGUCGCCGAGUAGGGAUGACAAUGGGUUUGUGUGAGCGGGUUUUUCACCUGCCUGAAAUCCUGGUAGGUAAUUAAAGGUUUUGUUUAUUGAACCGUGGAACGGGUUUGGUAUAAUUAGAAGUUAAAAUCCGAUUGAGAAGGGUUCAAGAUUUUGUUUUAGAACCCAUCCCAAACCUGUUAAGAGUGAAAUUACUAAAUUAUCAUAUUGACUAAAUUAUUUUACUGAA
Punica granatum (pomegranate) is the source of this 1877-nucleotide non-coding RNA. The record is from RefSeq and is a predicted model, not a curated record. NCBI's taxonomy places the organism in Eukaryota, Viridiplantae, Streptophyta, Magnoliopsida, Myrtales, Lythraceae.